This 103-nucleotide ribosomal RNA is filed under the name Danio rerio (zebrafish). Lineage: Eukaryota; Metazoa; Chordata; Actinopteri; Cypriniformes; Danionidae. The record is from RNAcentral.
ACCGGCAGCUAGCUCUCUGCAACUCGCACUGAAGCUAAGCAGGGCUACGCCCUGUUAGUACCUGGAUGGGAGACCAAAUGGGAAAGCUAGGUUGCUGUCGGAA